GUGGGGAAUCUUAGACAAUGGGGGAAACCCUGAUCUAGCCAUGCCGCGUGAGCGAUGAAGGCCUUAGGGUUGUAAAGCUCUUUCAGCUGGGAAGAUAAUGACUGUACCAGCAGAAGAAGCCCCGGCUAACUCCGUGCCAGCAGCCGCGGUAAUACGGAGGGGGCUAGCGUUGUUCGGAAUUACUGGGCGUAAAGCGCACGUAGGCGGACCGGAAAGUCAGAGGUGAAAUCCCAGGGCUCAACCUUGGAACUGCCUUUGAAACUCCUGGUCUUGAGGUCGAGAGAGGUGAGUGGAAUUCCGAGUGUAGAGGUGAAAUUCGUAGAUAUUCGGAGGGACACCAGUGGCGAAGGCGGCUCACUGGCACGAUACUGACGCUGAGGUGCGAAAGCGUGGGGAGCAAACAGGAUUAGAAACCCCAGUAGUCC
This 425-nucleotide ribosomal RNA is filed under the name uncultured bacterium. RNAcentral's name for it is "partial 16S ribosomal RNA". It matches the Rfam family "Bacterial small subunit ribosomal RNA", at positions 354 to 796 of the family's 1533-position model. The record is from RNAcentral.